ACCUGACUGCUAUCGGAUUGAUACUAAGCCAUGCGAGUCAUUGUAGCAAUACAAGGCAUACGGCUCAGUAACGCGUAGUCAACCUAACCUAUGGACGGGAAUAACCUCGGGAAACUGAGAAUAAUGCCCGAUAGAACACUAUACCUGGAAUGGUUUGUGUUCCAAAUGAUUUAUCGCCAUAGGAUGGGACUGCGGCCUAUCAGUUUGUUGGUGAGGUAAUGGCCCACCAAGACUAUUACAGGUACGGGCUCUGAGAGGAGUAGCCCGGAGAUGGGUACUGAGACACGGACCCAGGCCCUAUGGGGCGCAGCAGGCGAGAAAACUUUGCAAUGUGCGAAAGCACGACAAGGUUAAUCCGAGUGAUUUGUGCUAAACGAAUCUUUUGUUAGUCCUAGAAACACUAACGAAUAAGGGGUGGGCAAGUUCUGGUGUCAGCCGCCGCGGUAAAACCAGCACCUCAAGUGGUCAGGUUGAUUAUUGGGCCUAAAGCAUCCGUAGCCGGCUCUGUAAGUUUUCGGUUAAAUCUGUACGCUUAACGUACAGGCUGCCGGGAAUACUGCAGAGCUAGGGAGUGGGAGAGGUAGACGGUACUCGGUAGGAAGUGGUAAAAUGCUUUGAUCUAUCGAUGACCACCUGUGGCGAAGGCGGUCUACCAGAACACGUCCGACGGUGAGGGAUGAAAGCUGGGGGAGCAAACCGGAUUAGAUACCCGGGUAGUCCCAGCUGUAAACUAUGCAAACUCAGUGAUGCAUUGGCUUGUGGCCAAUGCAGUGCUGCAGGGAAGCCGUUAAGUUUGCCGCCUGGGAAGUACGUACGCAAGUAUGAAACUUAAAGGAAUUGGCGGGGGAGCACCACAAGGGGUGAAGCCUGCGGUUC
RNAcentral lists this ribosomal RNA (876 nucleotides) under uncultured crenarchaeote. RNAcentral's name for it is "bacterial SSU rRNA". It matches the Rfam family "Archaeal small subunit ribosomal RNA", at positions 21 to 903 of the family's 1478-position model. Lineage: Archaea; Thermoproteati; Thermoproteota. The record is from RNAcentral.